This 118-nucleotide ribosomal RNA is filed under the name Bison bison bison. The record is from RNAcentral. Lineage: Eukaryota; Metazoa; Chordata; Mammalia; Artiodactyla; Bovidae.
GUCUCAGGCCGUAUCAGCCUGAAGGCGCCUGAUCUCGUCUGAUCUCGGAAGCUAAGCAGGGUCGGGCCUGGUUAGUAUCUUGGAUGGGAGACCACUGGGAAUCCGGGUGCUCGAGGCU